Molecule: ribosomal RNA, 462 nt
Filed under: uncultured Pelotomaculum sp.
Lineage: Bacteria; Bacillati; Bacillota; Clostridia; Eubacteriales; Desulfotomaculaceae
Description: bacterial SSU rRNA
Rfam family: Bacterial small subunit ribosomal RNA
Source: RNAcentral
CCCGCACAAGCGGUGGAGCAUGUGGUUUAAUUCGACGCAACGCGAAGAACUUACCAGGGCUUGACAUCCCCUGACCGCGUAUGAAAGUACGUUUUCACCCUCGGGUGACAGGGAGACAGGUGGUGCAUGGUUGUCGUCAGCUCGUGUCGUGAGAUGUUGGGUUAAGUCCCGCAACGAGCGCAACCCCUACGUUUAGUUGCUAACAGGUGAAGCUGAGCACUCUAGACGAACUGCCGUUGACAAAACGGAGGAAGUGGGAUGACGUCAAAUCAUCAUGCCCCUUAUGUUCUGGGCUACACACGUGCUACAAUGGCCGGUACAGACGGAGGCGAAGCCGCGAGGCGGAGCAAAUCCGAAAAAGCCGGUCUCAGUUCGGAUUGCAGGCUGCAAUUCGCCUGCAUGAAGUCGGAAUCGCUAGUAAUCGCAGGUCAGCAUACUGCGGUGAAUACGUUCCCGGGCCUU